Long non-coding RNA from Paramisgurnus dabryanus, 429 nucleotides. RefSeq lists it as uncharacterized. Lineage: Eukaryota; Metazoa; Chordata; Actinopteri; Cypriniformes; Cobitidae. The record is from RefSeq and is a predicted model, not a curated record.
AUUGAGACCAAAAUAAACAAUGUGCCACUCUAGACAGCUGUGGACAAAAUAUGCAGUCAGAGUAGCCUAUUUUCUCAAACAGAAAGAGAAUUCCAGGCCAAAAGGACUCAACAGAGACAGCAUUAUGAGGAGCAACCAGUACAUCAAAGCAAAAAGAUGCUAUGAUGUUGUCUGAGGCACCUUAUUAUUUGUUAUCUGUCUUCAGAGGAAAGGCAGCUUGGAGGUUGCUACAGCUACACAGGGAGAAUUUCAGCAGCUCAGUUUCAUACUUGCAACUAAUAAUGAAUAAUAGUUAGAAGACAGCGGAAAGAAUUGGCAUUGCAGAGACACACACCAAGAGACACACACACAGGCAGCUGAAGCGAGUUUGACUGACGUGCACAGGAGAUCAGGCACGUGCACGGAAGGUCGUGCACGCACACACAAACA